RNAcentral lists this ribosomal RNA (253 nucleotides) under uncultured bacterium. Its description in RNAcentral is "partial 16S ribosomal RNA". It matches the Rfam family "Bacterial small subunit ribosomal RNA", at positions 524 to 776 of the family's 1533-position model. The record is from RNAcentral.
UACGUAGGGUGCAAGCGUUGUCCGGAAUUAUUGGGCGUAAAGAGCUCGUAGGCGGUUUGUCGCGUCGAAUGUGAAAACCCGGGGCUCAACCGCGGGCCUGCAUUCGAUACGGGCGGACUAGAGUUCGGUAGGGGAGUCUGGAAUUCCUGGUGUAGCGGUGAAAUGCGCAGAUAUCAGGAGGAACACCGGUGGCGAAGGCGGGUCUCUGGGCCGAUACUGACGCUGAGGAGCGAAAGCGUGGGGAGCAAACAGG